UACGUAGGUGGCAAGCGUUGUCCGGAUUUACUGGGCGUAAAGAGCGCGCAGGCGGUCGGAUAAGUCGAAUGUGAAAGCCCCUGGCUCAACCUGGGAGGGUCAUUCGAUACUGUUCGACUCGAAGGCAGGAGAGGGAAGUGGAAUUCCGGGUGUAGUGGUGAAAUGCGUAGAUAUCCGGAGGAAGACCAGUGGCGAAGGCGGCCCUCUGGACUGCACCUGACGCUGACACGCGAAAGCUAGGGGAACGAACGGG
This 253-nucleotide ribosomal RNA is filed under the name uncultured bacterium. RNAcentral describes it as "partial 16S ribosomal RNA". It matches the Rfam family "Bacterial small subunit ribosomal RNA", at positions 524 to 776 of the family's 1533-position model. The record is from RNAcentral.